This is a long non-coding RNA of Ornithodoros turicata, 554 nucleotides long. RefSeq lists it as uncharacterized. NCBI's taxonomy places the organism in Eukaryota, Metazoa, Arthropoda, Arachnida, Ixodida, Argasidae. The transcript is spliced from 2 exons. The record is from RefSeq and is a predicted model, not a curated record.
GCAAGUUGGUUUAGUCUUCAGUAGCCGUCGCAAGGAUGGUGAUGGUGUAUCUCCUGUGCAGUAUUUACGUGUGUUUCAGUGCGCUUUGUAAGACAAUGCAAUGACAAUGGUUCGUGUGCAACACAUUGUCGAUUUCCCGGAAGAGUUUUGACGCCAAGAAGACGUAAACGGUGUAGGGGCAAGAACGCACUGUGAAACGCCAAUCGGACUGCACGUCGCGAAUGUUUGCAGAAACUUCGGGGGAACUUGAAGAGAAACAGGAUAAGAUUCCGAACGUGCGGUGAAGAGGAAUGGGGUGUAUGUCGCGACCUGCAUGGAAAACAGGAGUGUCGUGUCAUCUUCUCUAAGAAAAUACAAGAUGUGAGGUGGCCAACGAACGAAAGCUCCCUGUGGUCCGUGAGUGCAUAGCACAGUCAGGCAUAUGCUUUGUCUAGACACAGUGAGUGAUCAGACUUAUACUUAUACUACAUGGUAUGUAAAUGUAGAGAUGUAUUGAUUAUUUCUUUCUGCUCAGUGUAUGCUUUUAGCAGAAUAAACGGUAAUUACUUGAGCAA